Molecule: long non-coding RNA, 464 nt
Filed under: Salmo salar (Atlantic salmon)
Lineage: Eukaryota; Metazoa; Chordata; Actinopteri; Salmoniformes; Salmonidae
Description: lncRNA (ENSSSAG00000109773.1)
Source: RNAcentral
GUCAGAGGUCAGAGACUGUACAGUAACAUGCUAUACAUGAGGUCAGUGGCUGUACAGUAACAUGCUAUACAUGAGGUCAGAGGCUGUACAGUAACAUGCUAUACAUGAGGUCAGAGGUCAGAGGCUGUACAGUAACAUGCUAUACAUGAGGUCAGAGGUCAUAGGCUGUACAGUAACAUGCUAUACAUGAGGUCAGAGGUCAGAGGCUGUACAGUAACACGCUAUACAUGAGGUCAGAGGUCAGUGGCUGUACAGUAACAUGCUAUACAUGAGGUCAGAGGUCAGAGGCUGUACAGUAACAUGCUAUACAUGAGGUCAGAGGCUGUACAGUAACAUGCUAUACAUGAGGUCAGAGGUCAGAGGCUGUACAGUAACACGCUAUACAUGAGGUCAGAGGCUGUACAGUAACACGCUAUACAUGAGGUCAGAGGUCAGAGGCUGUACAGUAACAUGCUAUACAUGAG